This 445-nucleotide ribosomal RNA is filed under the name uncultured bacterium. Its description in RNAcentral is "partial 16S ribosomal RNA". It matches the Rfam family "Bacterial small subunit ribosomal RNA", at positions 355 to 788 of the family's 1533-position model. The record is from RNAcentral.
UGGGGAAUUUUGGACAAUGGGCGAAAGCCUGAUCCAGCAAUGCCGCGUGUGUGAAGAAGGCCUUCGGGUUGUAAAGCACUUUUGUCCGGAAAGAAAUCCUUGGCUCUAAUACAGUCGGGGGAUGACGGUACCGGAAGAAUAAGCACCGGCUAACUACGUGCCAGCAGCCGCGGUAAUACGUAGGGUGCAAGCGUUAAUCGGAAUUACUGGGCGUAAAGCGUGCGCAGGCGGUUUGCUAAGACCGAUGUGAAAUCCCCGGGCUCAACCUGGGAACUGCAUUGGUGACUGGCAGGCUAGAGUAUGGCAGAGGGGGGUAGAAUUCCACGUGUAGCAGUGAAAUGCGUAGAGAUGUGGAGGAAUACCGAUGGCGAAGGGUAGCCCCCAUGGGCCAAUACUGACGCUCAUGCACGAAAAGCGUGGGGGAGCAAACAGGAUUAGAUACCCC